This 30-nucleotide non-coding RNA is filed under the name Rattus norvegicus (Norway rat). Lineage: Eukaryota; Metazoa; Chordata; Mammalia; Rodentia; Muridae. The record is from RNAcentral.
UGAGAGUUGCCUUGGUUAUAGUGACUGUUU